Molecule: ribosomal RNA, 639 nt
Filed under: Polyporales sp. 6-S-3-B-81N(FP)-A
Lineage: Eukaryota; Fungi; Basidiomycota; Agaricomycetes; Polyporales
Description: eukaryotic LSU rRNA
Rfam family: 5.8S ribosomal RNA (bases 264-417)
Source: RNAcentral
UCUUGGUCAUUUAGAGGAAGUAAAAGUCGUAACAAGGUUUCCGUAGGUGAACCUGCGGAAGGAUCAUUAUCGAGUUUUGAUCGGGUUGUAGCUGGCCUUUAACGAGGUAUGUGCACGCCUGGCUCAUCCACUCUCAACCUCUGUGCACUUUAUGUAAGAAACGGUGUAAGCCAGUUAUUUAAUAGUCGGUAAUAAGCCUUUUUUAUGUUUACUACAAACGAUUCAGUUAUAGAAUGUUUACUGCGUAUAACACAAUUAUAUACAACUUUCAGCAACGGAUUUGCUGGCUCUAGCAUCGAAGAAGAAUGCAGUGAAAUAUGAUAAGUAAUGAGAACAGCAGAUCUCAGUGUAUCAUCGAAUCCCUGAACGCCCCUGGCAUUCCGAGGUACUCGCAGGAGUAAGCGUCAUGGAAUUUUCAGGAAUUUUCAACCCUGGGUGAAUAGAGCUUGGACUUGGAGGUUAUUGCUGGAACGCAUUUGUGUUCGGCUCCUCUUGAAAGUAUUAGCUUGAGCCUUUGUGGAUCAGCUUCGGUGUGAUAAUUCUAUACGCUGUUCUGUGAAGCAUGUUUGUGGGUUUAGGCUUUUAAUCGUCCUCUGGAUGGGACAAAUGCAAUUAUCCCUUGACCUCAGAUCAGGUAGG